CACUAUCGUUAACUGAAUACAUAGGUUAACGAGGCGAACCGGGGGAACUGAAACAUCUAAGUACCCCGAGGAAAAGAAAUCAACCGAGAUUCCCCCAGUAGCGGCGAGCGAACGGGGAGCAGCCCAGAGUCUGAAUCAGCUUGUGUGUUAGUGGAACGGUCUGGAAAGUCCGACGGUACAGGGUGAUAGUCCCGUACACCAAAAUGCACAGGCUGUGAACUCGAAGAGUAGGGCGGGACACGUGGUAUCCUGUCUGAAUAUGGGGGGACCAUCCUCCAAGGCUAAAUACUCCUGACUGACCGAUAGUGAACCAGUACCGUGAGGGAAAGGCGAAAAGAACCCCGGCGAGGGGAGUGAAAAAGAACCUGAAACCGUGUACGUACAAGCAGUGGGAGCACCUUCGGGUGUGACUGCGUACCUUUUGUAUAAUGGGUCAGCGACUUAUAUUCUGUAGCAAGGUUAACCGUAUAGGGGAGCCGCAGGGAAACCGAGUCUUAACUGGGCGUUAAGUUGCAGGGUAUAGACCCGAAACCCGGUGAUCUAGCCAUGGGCAGGUUGAAGGUUGGGUAACACUAACUGGAGGACCGAACCGACUAAUGUUGAAAAAUUAGCGGAUGACUUGUGGCUGGGGGUGAAAGGCCAAUCAAACCGGGAGAUAGCUGGUUCUCCCCGAAAGCUAUUUAGGUAGCGCCUCGUGAAUUCAUCUUCGGGGGUAGAGCACUGUUUCGGCUAGGGGGUCAUCCCGACUUACCAACCCGAUGCAAACUACGAAUACCGAAGAAUGUUAUCACGGGAGACACACGGCGGGUGCUAACGUCCGUCGUGAAGAGGGAAACAACCCAGACCGCCAGCUAAGGUCCCAAAGUCAUGGUUAAGUGGGAAACGAUGUGGGAAGGCACAGACAGCCAGGAUGUUGGCUUAGAAGCAGCCAUCAUUUAAAGAAAGCGUAAUAGCUCACUGGUCGAGUCGGCCUGCGCGGAAGAUGUAACGGGGCUAAACCAUGCACCGAAGCUGCGGCAGCGACACUAUGUGUUGUUGGGUAGGGGAGCGUUCUGUAAGCCUGCGAAGGUGUGCUGUGAGGCAUGCUGGAGGUAUCAGAAGUGCGAAUGCUGACAUAAGUAACGAUAAAGCGGGUGAAAAGCCCGCUCGCCGGAAGACCAAGGGUUCCUGUCCAACGUUAAUCGGGGCAGGGUGAGUCGACCCCUAAGGCGAGGCCGAAAGGCGUAGUCGAUGGGAAACAGGUUAAUAUUCCUGUACUUGGUGUUACUGCGAAGGGGGGACGGAGAAGGCUAUGUUAGCCGGGCGACGGUUGUCCCGGUUUAAGCAUGUAGGCUGGUUGUCCAGGCAAAUCCGGAUAAUCAAGGCUGAGGUGUGAUGACGAGGCACUACGGUGCUGAAGUAACAAAUGCCCUGCUUCCAGGAAAAGCCUCUAAGCAUCAGGUAACAUCAAAUCGUACCCCAAACCGACACAGGUGGUCAGGUAGAGAAUACCAAGGCGCUUGAGAGAACUCGGGUGAAGGAACUAGGCAAAAUGGUGCCGUAACUUCGGGAGAAGGCACGCUGGUGUGUAGGUGAAGUCCCUGCGGAUGGAGCUGAGACCAGUCGAAGAUACCAGCUGGCUGCAACUGUUUAUUAAAAACACAGCACUGUGCAAACACGAAAGUGGACGUAUACGGUGUGACGCCUGCCCGGUGCCGGAAGGUUAAUUGAUGGGGUUAUCCGUAAGGAGAAGCUCUUGAUCGAAGCCCCGGUAAACGGCGGCCGUAACUAUAACGGUCCUAAGGUAGCGAAAUUCCUUGUCGGGUAAGUUCCGACCUGCACGAAUGGCGUAAUGAUGGCCAGGCUGUCUCCACCCGAGACUCAGUGAAAUUGAACUCGCUGUGAAGAUGCAGUGUACCCGCGGCAAGACGGAAAGACCCCGUGAACCUUUACUAUAGCUUGACACUGAACAUUGAGCCUUGAUGUGUAGGAUAGGUGGGAGGCUUUGAAGCGUGGACGCCAGUCUGCGUGGAGCCAACCUUGAAAUACCACCCUUUAAUGUUUGAUGUUCUAACGUUGGCCCCUGACCGGGGUUGCGGACAGUGUCUGGUGGGUAGUUUGACUGGGGCGGUCUCCUCCCAAAGCGUAACGGAGGAGCACGAAGGUUAGCUAAUCCUGGUCGGACAUCAGGAGGUUAGUGCAAUGGCAUAAGCUAGCUUGACUGCGAGCGUGACGGCGCGAGCAGGUGCGAAAGCAGGUCAUAGUGAUCCGGUGGUUCUGAAUGGAAGGGCCAUCGCUCAACGGAUAAAAGGUACUCCGGGGAUAACAGGCUGAUACCGCCCAAGAGUUCAUAUCGACGGCGGUGUUUGGCACCUCGAUGUCGGCUCAUCACAUCCUGGGGCUGAAGUAGGUCCCAAGGGUAUGGCUGUUCGCCAUUUAAAGUGGUACGCGAGCUGGGUUUAGAACGUCGUGAGACAGUUCGGUCCCUAUCUGCCGUGGGCGCUGGAGAAUUGAGGGGGGCUGCUCCUAGUACGAGAGGACCGGAGUGGACGCAUCACUGGUGUUCGGGUUGUCAUGCCAAUGGCACUGCCCGGUAGCUAAAUGCGGAAGAGAUAAGUGCUGAAAGCAUCUAAGCACGAAACUUGCCCCGAGAUGAGUUCUCCCUGAGACUUUAAGUCUCCUGAAGGAACGUUGAAGACGACGACGUUGAUAGGCCGGGUGUGUAAGCGCAGCGAUGCGUUGAGCUAACCGGUACUAAUGAACCGUGAGGCUUAACCUU
This 2758-nucleotide ribosomal RNA is filed under the name Klebsiella pneumoniae. RNAcentral's name for it is "bacterial LSU rRNA". It matches the Rfam family "Bacterial large subunit ribosomal RNA". RNAcentral also lists the same sequence under 1 other name. The record is from RNAcentral. Lineage: Bacteria; Pseudomonadati; Pseudomonadota; Gammaproteobacteria; Enterobacterales; Enterobacteriaceae.